This 120-nucleotide ribosomal RNA is filed under the name Salmo salar (Atlantic salmon). Lineage: Eukaryota; Metazoa; Chordata; Actinopteri; Salmoniformes; Salmonidae. The record is from RNAcentral.
GCUUACGGCCAUACCAGCCUGGGUACGCUUCGAUCUCGUCUGAUCUCGGAAGCUAAGCAGGGUCGGGCCUUGUUAGUACUUGGAUGGGAGACCGCCUGGGAAUACCAGGUGCUGUAAGCA